RNAcentral lists this ribosomal RNA (639 nucleotides) under uncultured Actinomycetes bacterium. RNAcentral describes it as "bacterial SSU rRNA". It matches the Rfam family "Bacterial small subunit ribosomal RNA", at positions 232 to 885 of the family's 1533-position model. The record is from RNAcentral. Lineage: Bacteria; Bacillati; Actinomycetota; Actinomycetes.
CGCGGCCUAUCAGCUUGUUGGUGAGGUAACGGCUCACCAAGGCAUCGACGGGUAGCUGGUCUGAGAGGACGAUCAGCCACACUGGGACUGAGACACGGCCCAGACUCCUACGGGAGGCAGCAGUAGGGAAUCUUGCGCAAUGGGCGAAAGCCUGACGCAGCAACGCCGCGUGGGGAAUGAAUGCCUUCGGGUUGUAAACCCCUUUCAGCAGGGACGAAAAUGACGGUACCUGCAGAAGAAGCUCCGGCCAACUACGUGCCAGCAGCCGCGGUAAUACGUAGGGAGCGAGCGUUGUCCGGAAUUAUUGGGCGUAAAGAGCUCGUAGGCGGUUCAGUAAGUCGGGUGUGAAAACUCAAGGCUCAACCUUGAGACGCCACUCGAUACUGCUGUGACUUGAGUCCGGUAGAGGAGUGUGGAAUUCCUGGUGUAGCGGUGAAAUGCGCAGAUAUCAGGAGGAACACCAGCGGCGAAGGCGGCACUCUGGGCCGGUACUGACGCUGAGGAGCGAAAGCAUGGGGAGCAAACAGGAUUAGAUACCCUGGUAGUCCACGCCGUAAACGGUGGGAACUAGAUGUGGGGUCCGUUCCACCGAUUCCGUGUCGCAGCUAACGCAUUAAGUUCCCCGCCUGGGGAGUACGG